GCAAACUUGGUCAUUUAGAGGAAGUAAAAGUCGUAACAAGGUUUCCGUAGGUGAACCUGCGGAAGGAUCAUUGUUGGAUUUUUAGAUGGAAAAAAAAACAACGAGUCUUUUUUUUUUGACGCCCAAAAAGAAGGGGUCUCUUUUGAGAUCAAAACGAAAGAAACGUGGUUGCCUGAUAAAAAAAGUGUUUGGAGGAUUUGAACAAGGAAAACAACUUUCAACAACGGAUCUCUUGGCUCUCGCAUCGAUGAAGAACGCAGC
This 261-nucleotide unclassified non-coding RNA is filed under the name uncultured fungus. RNAcentral's name for it is "partial contains small subunit ribosomal RNA, internal transcribed spacer 1, and 5.8S ribosomal RNA". The stretch from base 1 to 73 matches the Rfam family "Eukaryotic small subunit ribosomal RNA", at positions 1759 to 1831 of the family's 1831-position model. Lineage: Eukaryota; Fungi. The record is from RNAcentral.